CCUACGGGAGGCAGCAGUGGGGAAUAUUGGACAAUGGGGGCAACCCUGAUCCAGCGAUGCCGCGUGGGUGAAGAAGGCCUUCGGGUUGUAAAGCCCUUUAGGUCGGGAAGCUGUACCGACAGAAUAAGCACCGGCAAACUCUGUGCCAGCAGCCGCGGUAAUACAGAGGGUGCGAGCGUUAAUCGGAAUUACUGGGCGUAAAGGGCGCGUAGGCGGUGGAAUGUGAGUGAUGUGAAAGCCCCGGGCUUAACCUGGGAAGGGCAUCGCAGACUAUUUUACUGGAGUAGAUGAGAGGGUGGCGGAAUUUCCGGUGUAGCGGUGAAAUGCGUAGAGAUCGGAAGGAACGUCAAUGGCGAAGGCAGCCACCUGGCACAACUGACGCUGAGGCGCGAAAGCGUGGGGAUCGAACAGGAUUAGAUACCCUGGUAGUC
RNAcentral lists this ribosomal RNA (431 nucleotides) under uncultured bacterium. RNAcentral's name for it is "partial 16S ribosomal RNA". It matches the Rfam family "Bacterial small subunit ribosomal RNA", at positions 338 to 795 of the family's 1533-position model. The record is from RNAcentral.